RNAcentral lists this ribosomal RNA (468 nucleotides) under uncultured bacterium. RNAcentral's name for it is "partial 16S ribosomal RNA". It matches the Rfam family "Bacterial small subunit ribosomal RNA", at positions 28 to 507 of the family's 1533-position model. The record is from RNAcentral.
GACGAACGCUGGCGGCGUGCUUAACACAUGCAAGUCGAACGGAAAGGCCUUGCUUUUGUUGUGUGUUCCAGUGACGAAAGGGUCAGUAACGCGUGUGAAACGUGCCCUUUACUUUGCCAUAAUUUGAGUAAACUUGGGCUAAUACCGCAAAGGAGCUCUUGCUCCUCGGUGGGGUUUGGAAAGUUUCGGAGGUUGGGGAUGUACUCGCGGCUUAUCUGCUUGGUGGUCGGGUAGUGGCUUACCAAGGCUCUGACGGGUAGGCGGCCUGAGAGGGUGGCCGGCAGCAUUGGGACUGAGAUACGGCCCAGACUGCUACGGGAGGCAGAGGUGGGGGAUAGUACACAAUGGGCGGAAGCGUGAUGCAGCAACGCCGCGUGCUGGGUGACGGCCUUCGGGUUGUAAGCCGCUUUCGCCUGUGACGGGGAGUGAGUGACGGUAAUGGGUAAAGAAGCACCGGCUAACUACGUG